Molecule: long non-coding RNA, 1137 nt
Organism: Alosa sapidissima (American shad)
Lineage: Eukaryota; Metazoa; Chordata; Actinopteri; Clupeiformes; Clupeidae
Exons: 3
Source: RefSeq, a predicted model, not a curated record
UGUUCAUCUGAGCUGUGGGUACAACACCAUUCCACACACAAGCCUGUUAAUGAACCUAAAUAUGAGCCAGCAGACCACUCCAACAAAUCAUGACUAGCCUGGGCUGAGCCGCUGUAGUCCGGCCGGCUGGCCCCAAUCUGCUGGAGGCGGGGCACGUCCACAGAGGUCAGCCAUGACAGGGACUGCAGGUCACCCGGGAGGUCCUCCUUGUUCAAUUGAGAGGGGUCUGUGGGGUAGCUGGAGUGGACAGGACACGCUACAGUGACACUCAGGGGUUUGAACCGGCUGUUAAACCUCACAGGACCCUAGAUGUACAACCGACCAUCUGGAGAGAUUUCCGCGAUGUGACUGAGUAGACCACCUGUCCGAGAAAAGCUACUGACCUGGGAUUCUUUCCAUUUACCUCAGAGUCUUACUGAAGGAUUAGCAAGAUGCAGGUAUGGUGCUGGCACGAUCGCAAACAAAUGCAACCUGCAAUCUAUGCUCCUUUCCAUGACUUUCUUAUAGUCUCUGUAUUAUUCUUGAGACGACAACUUAUGGACCCUUUGUGAAGGAUGUAUUGGUUUCUGAGAACAAAGCAGUUCACACAACAAUAGCUUUUAUUCGAGGUAAUUGACUGAACAUCGGGCCCAUUUACAGCGAUGCCCUGAGAUGUUUGGUUCAAACAGUGUGGGCUUAUACGUCAUGUCUAUACUUGACUUCUUUACUUUCAAUUUUGUCUGCUCAAUUAUAAUAGAUGAUCAAUAGUUAACUCUUUUUAGCUUGGUCGCUGCUUCAUACCUGAUGGUGUUGAUGUUCAGGUGUGUUUACUCUAAUGUCCUGGGCCAGGCAUACUGUAAAGACCCGGUCAAGAGUGUGUACCUCUGCACGGCGGUGUCCUUGUGACCCAUUUCCCUCUUGUUCCUGUUUCUGUGCCGUGCGUGUGUGUGUUCCUGUGGCCCAUUUGUCUUAUGAGCAGGUGUAAGUGGAUCCUGCCGUCUCCGUGGAGAGAUAGCCCCUUGGGCCGCCGUGGUAAAGAGACACACUCACUUCUCCCAGAUGAGACAGAUAGGCUUCCCUCCCCCUCUCUGCUGUAGUGACUUGGCUUAGGCUCCAUUGCAUCUUCUAUUGCUUUUCUCUCUCUCUCUCUCUCUCUCU